CCUAUGGGGGGCAGCAGGCGCGAAACCUCCGCAAUGUGAGAAAUCGCGACGGGGGGAUCCCAAGUGCCAUUCUUAACGGGAUGGCUUUUCAUUAGUGUAAAGAGCUUUUGGAAUAAGAGCUGGGCAAGACCGGUGCCAGCCGCCGCGGUAACACCGGCAGCUCUAGUGGUAGCUGUUUUUAUUGGGCCUAAAGCGUUCGUAGCCGGUUUGAUAAGUCUUUGGUGAAAUCCUGUAGCUUAACUAUGGGAAUUGCUGAGGAUACUGUCAGGCUUGAGGUCGGGAGAGGUUAGCGGUACUCCCAGGGUAGGGGUGAAAUCCUGUAAUCCUGGGAGGACCACCUGUGGCGAAGGCGGCUAACUGGAACGAACCUGACGGUG
RNAcentral lists this ribosomal RNA (377 nucleotides) under Virgibacillus indicus. RNAcentral's name for it is "bacterial SSU rRNA". It matches the Rfam family "Archaeal small subunit ribosomal RNA", at positions 322 to 699 of the family's 1478-position model. Lineage: Bacteria; Bacillati; Bacillota; Bacilli; Caryophanales; Bacillaceae. The record is from RNAcentral.